This 188-nucleotide long non-coding RNA is filed under the name Monodelphis domestica (gray short-tailed opossum). Its description in RNAcentral is "lncRNA (ENSMODG00000046187.1)". Lineage: Eukaryota; Metazoa; Chordata; Mammalia; Didelphimorphia; Didelphidae. The record is from RNAcentral.
CAGUCAGACUGACACAAUGGUGCCAAAAUCAAGGAACUGGUCAGGUGCAAUUCAGCCACCCACCUACAGUCAUUUCCUGUGAGGAGGUCUUCACCUUGGAACUUGACCAUGGAGGAGCUUGGGCUUGAGAUCUCACACUGCUUCCCCUUGGACUGCCACAUGGGUAUAAAAUAAAGAACAAACCUGGG